UUGGAGGGCAAGUCUGGUGCCAGCAGCCGCGGUAAUUCCAGCUCCAAUAGCGUAUAUUAAAGUUGUUGCAGUUAAAAAGCUCGUAGUUGAAUUUCGGGAUCAAGGAAUCGGUCAUGCCUUGGUAUGUACUGGUUUUAUUGGUUCUCACCUUCUAAAGAACCAUAAUGUCAUUUAUUUGAUGUUAUGGGGAAUUAGGACUGUUACCUUGAAAAAAUUAGAGUGUUUAAAGCAAGCUUACGCUUGAAUACAUUAGCAUGGAAUAAUGAAAUAGGACAUCAGAUUCUAUUUUGUUGGUUUCUAGGAUCGAUGUAAUGAUUAAUAGGGACAGUUGGGGGCAUUAGUAUUCAAUUGUCAGAGGUGAAAUUCUUGGAUUUAUUGAAGACUAACUACUGCGAAAGCAUUUGCCAAGGAUGUUUUCAUUAAUCAAGAACGAAAGUUAGGGGAUCGGAGACGAUCAGAUACCGUCGUAGUCUUAACCAUAAACUAUGCCGACUAGGGAUCGGAUGAUGUUAAUUUUUUAAUGACUCAUUCGGCGCCUUACGGGAAAC
Molecule: ribosomal RNA, 548 nt
Filed under: uncultured Glomeromycotina
Lineage: Eukaryota; Fungi; Glomeromycota
Description: SSU rRNA
Rfam family: Eukaryotic small subunit ribosomal RNA
Source: RNAcentral